RNAcentral lists this ribosomal RNA (249 nucleotides) under Salmonella enterica subsp. enterica serovar Typhimurium. Its description in RNAcentral is "partial 16S ribosomal RNA". It matches the Rfam family "Bacterial small subunit ribosomal RNA", at positions 1 to 246 of the family's 1533-position model. The record is from RNAcentral. Lineage: Bacteria; Pseudomonadati; Pseudomonadota; Gammaproteobacteria; Enterobacterales; Enterobacteriaceae.
AAAUUGAAGAGUUUGAUCAUGGCUCAGAUUGAACGCUGGCGGCAGGCCUAACACAUGUAAGUCGAACGGUAACAGGAAGCAGCUUGCUGCUUUGCUGACGAGUGGCGGACGGGUGAGUAAUGUCUGGGAAACUGCCUGAUGGAGGGGGAUAACUACUGGAAACGGUGGCUAAUACCGCAUAACGUCGCAAGACCAAAGAGGGGGACCUUCGGGCCUCUUGCCAUCAGAUGUGCCCAGAUGGGAUUAGCU